This is a long non-coding RNA of Phodopus roborovskii (desert hamster), 346 nucleotides long. RefSeq lists it as uncharacterized. The transcript is spliced from 3 exons. NCBI's taxonomy places the organism in Eukaryota, Metazoa, Chordata, Mammalia, Rodentia, Cricetidae. The record is from RefSeq and is a predicted model, not a curated record.
UCCCUUUGUCACACUACUUCCCCAUGCAGGCUGAUGGAAUUUUCCAGGGUUCUGGGGCUGGAUGUGACCUCUGUGGUCUUUAGAUGUUUGGCGGAGAUUACCAGGACAGCAACAUCCUGACUGUCAAAAGAUCUCAUUCGGUGCCCGGACAGGCCAAGUAGGUCCACCCUCCCCCAAGUGUCUGGGGGCCUGGCCUGAGAUCAGAGGUCCACCAGCGUCAGCCCGCACCCUGCCCAGCGCGUCAGGAGGCGCCUUCUCAGCACAGAACAAUGCCGAUCCAGAACUGAGGACUCCAUGCCUACAUGCUGGGCCAGGGCUGGCUGCCAACCUCUUUCAAGCCAAAGCU